CACGAGGACCACACCACCAAAAAGACGGGCAAGAAGCAGAAACCUUGCGUGAACCACCACAUGGCGCUCGCGUGGACCCGUCCUGGGAUGACCUUAACUUAAGCGCCGGCCGGGGCGGGCGGUCGCUCGGGGCGGAGAGUGUGAGUCGUCGCUUGGAAUCGACGCAAGAGAAGACAGGAGAACUGGAGCAUCCUCCCUCAGUCGAUCACGCUACUGGUGGAUGGACUCGACGGCUGACGGUUGACUUUUCAAACUUAAAGAUGAUUUGUCAAUUCUCCAAACAUGUUCUUGGUGGGCUUUUUUUUCUUCUCAACUUAUUAUGGCUACCGGUGUGUGUGGAGACAGAGAGAAAGCAUGAGCCUCACCUCUUUUUACAAACUCUGCGUGAUCCUUUGGAAGGAAUGAUUGUCGACGUAUUCUUUUCCAAAUAUCAUCGAGUAUAGCCGGACAGCUUUCGACAUCGACAACGACUACUUUGCAGAUAGUUGCCACGCUUGACGAACCACUUGAACAAGAAUGAUAGAUGUCUUAGAGCUUACCUCACUAUCUCCUGUCCGCGUGGGAUGCUCAAGUCAAAAUGCACUUGACUUUUUUUUUUUUUUGAACUCGCUCGCUGAGUAAGACAUAAUUGUUUGUUCUCGAAAAGGGGUGGGCUGAGCAGCGGCUGCCAACCUGUAAAACCACCGCCUGUGGUUUACGCUGUCUCUGGCACUAGUCUAAUCUAAUACGAAAUGUUUCAAUUUAGUCUUAAAUUAGAUUCAAGCAACAAUGUUUGUGACAAAUGUGAAAUGGAACCAAAAAUAUAUACACUGAAUCUUUUGGAAUGUACCUAUCUCUGCAACUGGCUACUGGACUUCCUCUGUCAGACAAGAUCUCCGCCAGCAUCACGCUGAGCACAGGGGCCCCCCAAGGCUGCGUGCUCAGUCCGCUACUCUUCACCCUCCUGACGCAUGACUGCAUUGCAACCCACAGCGACAAGCGCAUAGUGAAGUUUGCUGACGACACCACUCUGGUGGGUCUCAUCACCAAGGGAGACGAGACUGGAGGUUGACCUUCUGACCACGUGGUGCAGGGACAACAACCUCCUGCUGAACGUCGACAAGACCAAGGAGGUUGUUGUUGACUUCCGGAAGGGUCACACCCAACACCUGCCGCUGACUAUCGACGGUGCUGUGGUGGAGAGAGUGAGCAGCGCCAGGUUCCUGGGGGUGCACAUCAGUGAGGAUCCACCAACACCGCAUCACUGGCGAAGAAGGCCCAGCGCCGCCUGUACUUCCUGCGGAAACACAGGCGAGCGAGCGCUCCUCAGGCCGUCAUGACUCCAUUUUACCGUGGCACCAUUGAGAGCGUCCUCUCCAGCUGUAUCGCUGUUUGGGGUGGCGGCUGCACUGACUACAACUUGAAGGCCGGCCCUGCAGCGCAUAGUGAACACGGCUGGUAAGAUUAUUGGUGCUUCAUUCCCCUCCUUGAAAGACAUUUACAUCUCCCAUCUCACCCGCAAGGCGACCACGAUUGUGAGUGAUGUGAGUCACCCCGCUCACUCUUUGUUUGAGCUUCUGCCCUCUGGGAAGAGGUACAGGAGCCUGCGCUCCCGCACCACCAGACUCAACAACAGCUUCAUACUCCAGGAUGUUAGGAUCCUGAACUCGCUUCCCCUUUCUGCGUAGCGUCCUGUACUUUUUCGCUCUAUUCUGACUGUCUGCUGUAUGCACACUGGCUCCGUUUUGCUCCUCUUAUUUAUUGUGUUAUCUUUGUUUAUUAUUUAUUCAUCAUUCUUAUUAUUUAUUGUUUGUGCCUUCUUGUUUUUACAUUGUGUCGUUUACUCGGACGUCUAUCGUGUAAUAUGUCUCGUCACCGUGGGAUAGAGAAAACGUCGUUUCGGUUUCUUUGCGUGUCUUGACGUGUGAAGAGAUUGACAAUAAAGCUGACUUUGACUUUG
This is a long non-coding RNA of Syngnathus typhle (broad-nosed pipefish), 1939 nucleotides long. RefSeq lists it as uncharacterized. The transcript has 2 exons. Lineage: Eukaryota; Metazoa; Chordata; Actinopteri; Syngnathiformes; Syngnathidae. The record is from RefSeq and is a predicted model, not a curated record.